RNAcentral lists this long non-coding RNA (1349 nucleotides) under Triticum aestivum (bread wheat). RNAcentral's name for it is "long non-coding RNA (TAES_LNC020275)". The record is from RNAcentral. Lineage: Eukaryota; Viridiplantae; Streptophyta; Magnoliopsida; Poales; Poaceae.
ACAAAUGUAGUUACUUUUAGUUAUAACUUGUCGCCGACAAUUAUGAUAAUGACUCUGUAGUCGGUAAUGUGAGACCUGAUUAUAUACACUAAGUACAUGCAAUUCAGCUAAUAUAGUGAGAGAUAGUCUUGUGACUCUUAUGAAAGUUGGAAGAUAAUAGAUGGCCUCGUAAUUUAGAUGAGAAUUCUUACUCAAUAUAUGUUAUCUGGAGGUUACUUUUGUCAGAAUCCUGGGCUCAAGCAGGCAGUCAAACCUUAAAAGAGAUAUGAAAUCACUGAAACUAUUCCGACAUCUGUACAUUGAAACAUGAGCAUGAUAAUGGACCAGAAAGAUAGUAAAGCAGCAAAGUGGAGGAAACAAACAAAUAAUUGUGCCUGCACUAAAAUAGAUUUUCCUUGCCUAUAAAGGAGUCUGUCUUUCCAACCAUAGAGGGUAGAGGUAUAAAAUCGGUGAGUGAACAUGCAUAAUCAGGAUAAUUAAUAGGGACAUAACGCUGCGCCUAAACCUUCGACCAUGGAGUUAUUUUCAUGGAACUUGCUUCCACAGCCUUAUACAUGUUCUUUGCUAAUUUCACAAAUGAUUUGUUGAUGAGGAAAACUUGCCCUCCUUGAGUUUUCCCUGAAUAGUUUUUGUAUUCAUCACAUGUACCUCUCCAUACAUAUUGUUUCUAUAUAAGAUCAGUAUUAAACACAAGGACAUUACAUUAUGUACAAAGAAUACACCUAAUAAGUUUUUAGUAGGCAUGUUCAUCAACAAAGACAAUGUCAAGAUGCGUUCAAUGUCCAUCUAGGGACCUCAUACAAGAGCUACCUGUGCAAGCGCAGUGACACGCCGAGGGAUGGCUUCAGAUCUGAUAGGUGCAAAUUGGCCCGAAAACCAACUCACUGAAUUCUCUUCUUCCUGUUGGGAAGGGAGUUAAUCAGAAUUGGAUAUAUUUCCACAAAGAUGAGUUACCUGUGCAGAAGCCAUGGAUGAUGGUGAGUAGCCGAAGUAAAAAAAUUGCGAGUACAGUCUCCAAGAACUGCCCAAAUCAAUCGACCAUAGCAAGCAUGAAACACCUGUAUGUAUAGUUUUUGGAAUGAGAGAAAAUCAGGGCAAUUCAAUUGCUUGGUGGAAGAAUGAAUCAUACAUUCAUAUACUGAACUGAAAAAUAUAUAGUGAAACCUAUCCAAUCAUCAUGUGGACGGAUGUUAUGCUUGGGAGGAAACGGUGAGUGAGCGGUAGUAAGGGGGGAAGCAUAUAUAUACACGUACUUGUACCGUGAGGCAGCGGAAAGGAUGGGCACAUCACCAGCCAUGAUUGUGUGUAGAGAAACUGAAGAUUUAUUGCGUCUUCAAAUCGCUGCGGAG